Molecule: ribosomal RNA, 376 nt
Filed under: uncultured bacterium
Lineage: Bacteria
Description: bacterial SSU rRNA
Rfam family: Bacterial small subunit ribosomal RNA
Source: RNAcentral
UACGUAGGUGGCAAGCGUUGUCCGGAAUUAUUGGGCGUAAAGCGCGCGCAGGCGGUUCCUUAAGUCUGAUGUGAAAGCCCACGGCUCAACCGUGGAGGGUCAUUGGAAACUGGGGGACUUGAGUGCAGAAGAGGAGAGCGGAAUUCCACGUGUAGCGGUGAAAUGCGUAGAGAUGUGGAGGAACACCAGUGGCGAAAGCGGCUCUCUGGUCUGUAACUGACGCUGAGGCGCGAAAGCGUGGGGAGCAAACAGGAUUAGAUACCCUGGUAGUCCACGCCGUAAACGAUGAGUGCUAAGUGUUAGAGGGUAUCCACCCUUUAGUGCUGUAGCUAACGCAUUAAGCACUCCGCCUGGGGAGUACGCUCGCAAGAGUGAA